RNAcentral lists this small RNA (793 nucleotides) under Pan troglodytes (chimpanzee). Its description in RNAcentral is "processed transcript". The record is from RNAcentral. Lineage: Eukaryota; Metazoa; Chordata; Mammalia; Primates; Hominidae.
CAGGCUGGUGGAAGGUUCUGCAGAUACUCAGUGGAUGUCAGAGCCGCAGCGCCACAUCCAUGGCCUCCCCGAUGUUAAUGGGAAGAGGUACACACUCCAUUCCUGCUCUUCGUCACAGGGAAGGAGAUUGGUGGGAAGCCCGCUCCUUGACAACUGGAGAGACAGGUUACAUUCCCAGCAAUUAUGUGGCUCCAGUUGACUCUAUCCAGGCAGAAGAGUGGUACUUUGGAAAACUUGGCCGAAAAGAUGCUGAGCGACAGCUAUUGUCCUUUGGAAACCCAAGAGGUACCUUUCUUAUCCGCGAGAGUGAAACCACCAAAGGUGCCUAUUCACUUUCUAUCCGUGAUUGGGAUGAUAUGAAAGGAGACCAUGUCAAACAUUAUAAAAUUCGCAAACUUGACAAUGGUGGAUACUACAUUACCACCCGGGCCCAGUUUGAAACACUUCAGCAGCUUGUACAACAUUACUCAGAGAGAGCUGCAGGUCUCUGCUGCCGCCUAGUAGUUCCCUGUCACAAAGGGAUGCCAAGGCUUACCGAUCUGUCUGUCAAAACCAAAGAUGUCUGGGAAAUCCCUCGAGAAUCCCUGCAGUUGAUCAAGAGACUGGGAAAUGGGCAGUUUGGGGAAGUAUGGAUGGGUACCUGGAAUGGAAACACAAAAGUAGCCAUAAAGACUCUUAAACCAGGCACAAUGUCCCCCGAAUCAUUCCUUGAGGAAGCGCAGAUCAUGAAGAAGCUGAAGCACGACAAGCUGGUCCAGCUCUAUGCAGUGGUGUCUGAGGAGCCCAUCUACAU